This 596-nucleotide ribosomal RNA is filed under the name uncultured bacterium. RNAcentral describes it as "bacterial SSU rRNA". It matches the Rfam family "Bacterial small subunit ribosomal RNA", at positions 112 to 704 of the family's 1533-position model. The record is from RNAcentral.
AAUGCCUAGGAAUCUGCCUGGUAGUGGGGGAUAACGUUCGGAAACGGACGCUAAUACCGCAUACGUCCUACGGGAGAAAGCAGGGGACCUUCGGGCCUUGCGCUAUCAGAUGAGCCUAGGUCGGAUUAGCUAGUUGGUGAGGUAAUGGCUCACCAAGGCGACGAUCCGAAACUGGUCUGAGAGGAUGAUCAGUCACACUGGAACUGAGACACGGUCCAGACUCCUACGGGAGGCAGCAGUGGGGAAUAUUGGACAAUGGGCGAAAGCCUGAUCCAGCCAUGCCGCGUGUGUGAAGAAGGUCUUCGGAUUGUAAAGCACUUUAAGUUGGGAGGAAGGGUUGUAGAUUAAUACUCUGCAAUUUUGACGUUACCGACAGAAUAAGCACCGGCUAACUCUGUGCCAGCAGCCGCGGUAAUACAGAGGGUGCAAGCGUUAAUCGGAAUUACUGGGCGUAAAGCGCGCGUAGGUGGUUUGUUAAGUUGGAUGUGAAAUCCCCGGGCUCAACCUGGGAACUGCAUUCAAAACUGACUGACUAGAGUAUGGUAGAGGGUGGUGGAAUUUCCUGUGUAGCGGUGAAAUGCGUAGAUAUAGGAAGG